GCUCAUCCCCAUGAGAACAAUUUUAAAAAACCAGACGGUGGCUGCUGCCCAGGCCUUAUUUGUAAAUUUCAUAGUAGAAAAACCCUCGUUUUUCAGUUUCUGACUGUGGAGUCCCUCCCUCGCUCAGCCCAUGGCCGACUGAGGAAAUGAGACUCCGCCAGUGAGAGCGAGCUUCGCGAAUGAGACACAGAGAGAGAAAAGAGUUCAGCCCAUAAAUCUCUCUCUACUGUAUAUUGAAUCUAUCUCAUUUUCUUAGAGAGAGAGAGGGCAUGGCGCAGUGGCGCAUAAUUCCUCGGCCUCUGUUGGAGACGGUCCUGAACAACUACGGUCGGUCCCCUAAAGUUCCUCAGCCCCUCAUCUUCCAUGGUCCCAGAGGCGCCGGCAAGACCACAAUCCUCCACAGGCUACUUGACAACUGGUGCAAGCCCCCCCAUGCCACUGCAUACCUCGACCUCCAUUCUCUUCACAGCAAUAACAAUCAUCCCCGACAACAACCACCACCCCAAUGGCACCACUCGCCCCCUACAAUAUCCCUAACCUCCCUUCGCAUCCACCUUGAACAAUCUCUCGAAGCCCUAACUCUAAAAGCCAUCCGACUCGGCUCCAUCAGCUCCUCCCAAGUGUACACCACCCUCCUCAAAUGGCAUGGCAUAGACUCAGCCCUUCGCCAAAUUCUCAACCAAUAUACUAACCAUGCGCUACCUCGUGCACACACAGCUGACCUCUGGCGCCUGGUCAUCAGUACUUUGCACAAAGGCAACCAAUCCUUAGAAACCGAGCGUCGAGCCCGCUUAGCUGAGCUCAGGGACUGGUUUGAUGUUCUGAGCCCCGAUAGCUCGGUUUAUGUGCACCCCAAGGGUGGUGGGUUUGGGCUCGAUGUAAAGAACAAGGACGAGGAGGCCUGCUUUGAGGAAGCGCUUCUGGCCUUGCGAUUGGCCAAAGAAGUGUUGUGUAGGAAAGAGAAGUGGAGGGAGGGGGCGAUCAGGGAGCUCAAUCGCAAUGGUGGGUUCUCGAGAUCGCUCACCAAUGCGGCCACAGAUUGGCCCUCACUAUUGCUUGAGUUGCUUUCGGCCUCAUCAGAGCUUGGAUUCUUCCAGCCCAAACUAAUCAUAAACAACAUUGACAUUCUUCGCAAGGCAGUCUUGACAGACAAUUCAAUGGUCAAUGCCUCUAUGUAUCAUGACAGCUUUCUGUGGAGGUUAGUUUCUCUGGGUGUGAAUGAGAGGUGCUUACCUGUGAUACUAUCAACCUCGGACAGCUACUAUUCAUAUCACAUCUAUCGAGAUUUUGCAUUUCCAGAUGUUUUCAUCUCUCGUGAGAACUAUGGAUGGACGGUUCAAGAAGCUAAGAUGCAUAUGGUUGAUGAUUUCUUUAGUGAGGAGGAGUGGACUAUUGUCGCUGAUGUGUUGGGGCCAAACCCUCGACAUCUUUCCGAGUUGUAUUCAAUCAUGCAGACCGAGGAAUAUGAAAGGAUAGAGGAGAAUGAUUUGGAAAAUUCUUUUGAAGACGUUGUGGAUGCAUAUCUGGCUCAUUUACAAGUGACUGUCGUUAAUCCUGCCAUGGAAGCGGCGCUCAUUAUUCUUCAAAAUUUUGCUUUUGAUGCUUCCAAUGGAAAAAUAUCGGAGGAUAGAUUGCGCUUUGGAGCUCCCUGGAGACACCCACCUCAUUCCAACAGCAAGAGGAGUUCUCUGUUCUGGGCAAAGCUUCAGUUAAUGGAUUUUAUUCAGUCGCUGGUGAAUACUGGAUUUGGGGUAUGCAAUUUUAUUGAUCACAUUCAAAUUAACAAGCAGUUGGAAUUGUUUGGCCACAUGUCUUACUCAGCACUAUGCACAUUUUUAGACUUCAGUAACCAUGUUUUCUGAAUGUAAGCUCGGGAAAAGAAGCUCUCAAGUAAAUAACACGAAUCACCAUACAUUUCGAUUGAUCAUCAAGUUCCAACAUGCUUCACACUUCUAGUUAUAAGAGAGAAUUGCAGAAGUAACUAUUGCAGAUUUAGUAAAAUGGGGAACCUGGAAAUGUGUCUGUUGCUGGUUGGCUCUUCGGAUUUGCCAUCUUGGAACUAGCAUCCACCAUUUGAAGCUUGAUAUCAAUGCCUUAUCUUUCUGUGAACUAUUUUGCUGAUUGUAGCCUUGAAAUAUUGGAUGAUCCUUGCACAAACGCCAUGCUGGAGGUCGGUUUGUUAUAUAUGCAACGAG
Non-coding RNA from Amborella trichopoda, 2195 nucleotides. NCBI's taxonomy places the organism in Eukaryota, Viridiplantae, Streptophyta, Magnoliopsida, Amborellales, Amborellaceae. The record is from RefSeq and is a predicted model, not a curated record.